This 289-nucleotide ribosomal RNA is filed under the name uncultured bacterium. RNAcentral describes it as "partial 16S ribosomal RNA". It matches the Rfam family "Bacterial small subunit ribosomal RNA", at positions 338 to 619 of the family's 1533-position model. The record is from RNAcentral.
CCUACGGGACGCAGCAGUAGGGAAUCUUCCACAAUGGACGAAAGUCUGAUGGAGCAACGCCGCGUGAGUGAAGAAGGGUUUCGGCUCGUAAAGCUCUGUUGGUAGUGAAGAAAGAUAGAGGUAGUAACUGGCCUUUAUUUGACGGUAAUUACUUAGAAAGGCACGGCUAACUACGUGCCAGCAGCCGCGGUAAUACGGAGGGGGCAAGCGUUAUCCGGAUUCACUGGGCGUAAAGGGAGCGGAGGCGGCACGGCAAGGCUGGUGUGAAAACCCGGGGCCCCACCCCGGG